RNAcentral lists this transfer RNA (76 nucleotides) under Grimontia hollisae. Its description in RNAcentral is "tRNA-Asn(gtt)". It matches the Rfam family "tRNA". Rfam says of the family: Transfer RNA (tRNA) molecules are approximately 80 nucleotides in length. Their secondary structure includes four short double-helical elements and three loops (D, anti-codon, and T loops). Lineage: Bacteria; Pseudomonadati; Pseudomonadota; Gammaproteobacteria; Vibrionales; Vibrionaceae. The record is from RNAcentral.
UUCCCCUUAGUUCAGUCGGUAGAACGGCGGACUGUUAAUCCGUAUGUCGCUGGUUCAAGUCCAGCAGGGGGAGCCA